Molecule: ribosomal RNA, 444 nt
Filed under: uncultured bacterium
Lineage: Bacteria
Description: bacterial SSU rRNA
Rfam family: Bacterial small subunit ribosomal RNA
Source: RNAcentral
CCAGACUCCUACGGGAGGCAGCAGUGGGGAAUAUUGCACAAUGGGGGGAACCCUGAUGCAGCGACGCCGCGUGGGUGAAGGAGCACCUCGGUGCGUAAAGCCCUAUCGGCAGGGAAGAAACAGACGGUACCUGACUAAGAAGCCCCGGCUAACUACGUGCCAGCAGCCGCGGUAAUACGUAGGGGGCAAGCGUUAUCCGGAUUCACUGGGUGUAAAGGGAGCGUAGACGGCCAAGCAAGCCAGGGGUGAAAGCCCGGGGCCCAACCCCGGGACUGCCCUUGGAACUGCUUGGCUGGAGUGCGGGAGGGGCAGGCGGAAUUCCUGGUGUAGCGGUGAAAUGCGUAGAUAUCAGGAGGAACACCGGCGGCGAAGGCGACCUGCUAGAACAUAACUGACGCUGAUGCGCGAAAGCGUGGGGAGCAAACAGGAUUAGAUACCCCCGUA